RNAcentral lists this non-coding RNA (117 nucleotides) under Pan troglodytes (chimpanzee). Lineage: Eukaryota; Metazoa; Chordata; Mammalia; Primates; Hominidae. The record is from Rfam by way of RNAcentral.
GCCAGGUGUGGUGGCUCACGCCUGUAAUCCAACUACUUUGGGAGGCCGAGGCAGGUGGAUUGCUUGAGGCCAGGAGUUCAAGACCAGCCUGGCCAACAUGGCAAAACCCCGUCUCUA